Long non-coding RNA from Olea europaea var. sylvestris, 628 nucleotides. RefSeq lists it as uncharacterized. The transcript is spliced from 2 exons. NCBI's taxonomy places the organism in Eukaryota, Viridiplantae, Streptophyta, Magnoliopsida, Lamiales, Oleaceae. The record is from RefSeq and is a predicted model, not a curated record.
GCGUCACUAUGUCAUCAUGUUGAUGUCAAAUUUUUUCUUUUUUAAUUUGAAUAGUAAAACGACAACAUUUACCUAGAUGAUUGAUUUGUUUCUUUUUCUCCAUUUCUACACGCCUUGUUAUUCUACCUCUUCACUUCCACUCUACCUCUUGCUCAUUUUCACACACAAUUGUCCAUAUUAUGUUGCAACGAGAGUCGCCUUUUCACUGUCAAGGAUUACAAAUCUAAGAUCGAGUCAUAGUUUUGAAACUUCUGCAAUGGAAUUUUGAAACUUUUCGACUCAAAACUCAUCUGAUCUACCACCACUUGUGACUCCAAGGUUUUCUACUUGAAGAUGAAGAUUUUACGGUUUUGGAGCCAAUUCUAUUGGACGAGUGAGUUAUAUUUUUAACCUAAUUCAACCGAGUUACAGACCCCAAUGGACGCGUGAUGAAUGUGAGAAGCAUCUGCCUUGGGACGCCUAUAUGUUGAUGAAUGGGAGGGAGAAAAGUCAAUGGAGAACUACCAAAUCCAAUAACUUCUCUUUCUUUGUACCAUUCUUAUUUAUGUUUAGUUAUAUUAUGUUUGUACAAUUGAGUUGUGUUAGGUUACUUGUUUUCAAUAAAAGAAGACAAUUAUGGGUUUCGAUC